GUGAGUGGUAGCAGGGCCAGUCUGGAACUAUUUUGAGCUGGAGUUCCAUUUGCUCCUGGCAAACCGCCUGCUUUUGGUUCGUGUACCUCCUGUGGUAUGCAUACUAUAGGUUGAAAAGCUAGGGACUACAGGUGCAAACCCCUUCAUUAAAGAGAAACCGUUUGCAUACAUGACCCUCUAUAUUUUAAUACAAUAUAGGAAAUGCAUUAAUACAUUAAAAAGAUGCAG
Non-coding RNA from Pelobates cultripes (western spadefoot toad), 228 nucleotides. The record is from the annotation of a GenBank genome assembly. NCBI's taxonomy places the organism in Eukaryota, Metazoa, Chordata, Amphibia, Anura, Pelobatidae.